UAACCUACCUAUAAGACGUGGGAUUAACGUUACCGGGAAACCGGAGCUAAUACCGGAUAAUAUUUCGAACCGCAUGGUUCGAUAGUGAAAGAUGGUUUUGCUAUCACUUAUAGAUGGACCCGCGCCGUAUUAGCUAGUUGGUAAGGUAACGGCUUACCAAGGCGACGAUACGUAGCCGACCUGAGAGGGUGAUCGGCCACACUGGAACUGAGACACGGUCCAGACUCCUACGGGAGGCAGCAGCC
Molecule: ribosomal RNA, 245 nt
Filed under: uncultured Staphylococcus sp.
Lineage: Bacteria; Bacillati; Bacillota; Bacilli; Caryophanales; Staphylococcaceae
Description: partial 16S ribosomal RNA
Rfam family: Bacterial small subunit ribosomal RNA
Source: RNAcentral